AGGCCUAAUACAUGUAAGCGAACGGUGUCUUCGGACAUAGUGGCGCACGGGUGCGUAACACGUAUGCAACCUACCUUACAUUGGGGGAUAGCCUUUCGAAAGGGAGAUUAAUACCGCAUAAGACAGUAACUAGGCAUCUAGUAGCUGUUAAAGAUUUAUCGAUGUAAGCUGGGCAUGCGACCAAUUAGCUUGUUGGUGAGGUAAUGGCUCACCAAGGCUAUGAUUGGUAGGGGAACUGAGAGGUCAAUCCCCCACACUGGCACUGAGAUACGGGCCAGACUCCUACGGGAGGCAGCAGUAGGGAAUAUUGGGCAAUGGACGCAAGUCUGACCCAGCCAUGCCGCGUGCAGGAUGAAGGCGUUAUGCGUUGUAAACUGCUUUUAUACAGGAAGAAACGACUCUUGCGAGAGGCAUUGACGGUACUGUAUGAAUAAGCACCGGCUAACUCCGUGCCAGCAGCCGCGGUAAUACGGAGGGUGCAAGCGUUGUCCGGAUUUAUUGGGUUUAAAGGGUGCGCAGGUGGUUUAUUAAGUCAGUGGUGAAAGACGGUCGCUCAACGAUUGCAGUGCCAUUGAAACUGGUAGACUUGAGUAAAGUAGAGGUGGGCGGAAUUGAUAGUGUAGCGGUGAAAUGCAUAGAUAUUAUCAAGAACUCCAAUUGCGUAGGCAGCUCACUUGGCUUUUACUGACACUCAUGCACGAAAGUGUGGGUAUCAAACAGGAUUAGAUACCCUGGUAGUCCACACUGUAAACGAUGAUAACUAGGUGUCGGCCGAAUCUGGUCGGUGCCACAGCGAAAGCGUUAAGUUAUCCACCUGGGGAGUACGCCGGCAACGGUGAAACUCAAGGAAUUGACGGGGGUCCGCACAAGCGGU
This 874-nucleotide ribosomal RNA is filed under the name uncultured bacterium. Its description in RNAcentral is "bacterial SSU rRNA". It matches the Rfam family "Bacterial small subunit ribosomal RNA", at positions 44 to 933 of the family's 1533-position model. The record is from RNAcentral.